Molecule: ribosomal RNA, 253 nt
Filed under: uncultured bacterium
Lineage: Bacteria
Description: partial 16S ribosomal RNA
Rfam family: Bacterial small subunit ribosomal RNA
Source: RNAcentral
GACGAACCGUGCGAACGUUGUUCGGAAUCACUGGGCUUAAAGGGCGCGUAGGCGGGGUGGACAGUCCGUGGUGAAAUCCUCCGGCUCAACCGGAGAACUGCCGCGGAUACUGCCACUCUCGAGGGGUGUAGGGGCAUGCGGAACUUCGGGUGGAGCGGUGAAAUGCGUAGAUAUCCGAAGGAACGCCGGUGGCGAAAGCGGCGUGCUGGACACCUUCUGACGCUGAGGCGCGAAAGCCAGGGGAGCAAACGGG